Molecule: long non-coding RNA, 846 nt
Filed under: Marmota monax (woodchuck)
Lineage: Eukaryota; Metazoa; Chordata; Mammalia; Rodentia; Sciuridae
Source: RNAcentral
AUGGCAUUAAUGGAAGACUUAAUGGCGACGGGGCUCCAGUGAAUUCAGGACUAGAUGCACUGUUAAUUCAAGUCAAUGUGGUUGUGCCUGACAGCAUGAUUACUAUCUUUUGCCUGCAUAUAUUAUUUCCCCAAACUUAAUUAACAAAUCAUUUCUUCAUGUGCCAGAAUUAAACUAUUUAAUUAAUUGCCCUGUAUAAUCCUUGCUUAGUAACCCAGGGGUGGGAUGAAUUUACAGGUGAAAUUGAAUUUCUGGACGUAUCUGUAUUUAUUUGCAUUUGUGUGUCAUAUUCCAAUUUUAGAUAGAAAAAUCCCCAAGUUGUUAUAAAGGUAGUGAAAAAAAAAGGGUGGUGUCAUUUGGAAAUACCUAAUUGGGUAUCUAAAUCCAGUCCUCUCAUUCUACUUUCCAGAGUGUUGGGUGGACAGAAAGCAUAAUAGGGGUUUUGAUUUUUGAAUUAUUUUUAUUAUUUUUCUGCACUGGCUUGAGUAAGGUUUUUUUUUUUUCCCAGUGGGAAAAAUGAUUAUAAAAAUUAGAACCUGUGGCCGUAGGCAUGAUUCUCUCUUUGUCAGUUUCAAGUGCUCUGGAAAUUCAUCCUCUAAUCCAGCUAAUCACAACAGUGUUGAAAAUAAAAAUUUAAACAUCUGAAUGUGAAUUGCAUUGCCGUGUCUAUAUGCCUAUUGCUAUGCCAUGGCUGAGCUCUCUGAAUUACAUGGAACCUUUUGGGAAAAAUACAGGAAAUAUUUUGUCUUGUUUUUUAAGGCUACAGUACUAUAAAAAGUGUUUACAAGCCUGAAGGAAAACUACAUAUACAUAAAUAAAGCUACUUCUGUUGAUCUACAGAAAAAC